This 1370-nucleotide ribosomal RNA is filed under the name Enterococcus faecalis. Its description in RNAcentral is "partial 23S ribosomal RNA". It matches the Rfam family "Bacterial large subunit ribosomal RNA", at positions 1 to 1375 of the family's 2925-position model. Lineage: Bacteria; Bacillati; Bacillota; Bacilli; Lactobacillales; Enterococcaceae. The record is from RNAcentral.
GGUUAAGUGAAUAAGGGCGCACGGUGGAUGCCUUGGCACUAGGAGCCGAUGAAGGACGGGACUAACACCGAUAUGCUUUGGGGAGCUGUAAGUAAGCUAUGAUCCAGAGAUUUCCGAAUGGGGGAACCCAAUAUCUUUUAUAGGAUAUUACUUUUCAGUGAAUACAUAGCUGAUUAGAGGUAGACGCAGAGAACUGAAACAUCUUAGUACCUGCAGGAAGAGAAAGAAAAUUCGAUUCCCUGAGUAGCGGCGAGCGAAACGGGAAGAGCCCAAACCAACAAGCUUGCUUGUUGGGGUUGUAGGACUCCGAUAUGGUAGUCUGUUAGUAUAGUUGAAGGAUUUGGAAAAUUCCGCUAAAGAGGGUGAAAGCCCCGUAGACGAAAUGCUGACAACACCUAGGAGGAUCCUGAGUACGGCGGAACACGAGAAAUUCCGUCGGAAUCCGCGGGGACCAUCCCGCAAGGCUAAAUACUCCCUAGUGACCGAUAGUGAACCAGUACCGUGAGGGAAAGGUGAAAAGCACCCCGGAAGGGGAGUGAAAUAGAUCCUGAAACCGUGUGCCUACAACAAGUCAAAGCUCGUUAAUGAGUGAUGGCGUGCCUUUUGUAGAAUGAACCGGCGAGUUACGAUUGCAUGCGAGGUUAAGUCGAAGAGACGGAGCCGCAGCGAAAGCGAGUCUGAAUAGGGCGAAUGAGUAUGUAGUCGUAGACCCGAAACCAUGUGAUCUACCCAUGUCCAGGUUGAAGGUGCGGUAAAACGCACUGGAGGACCGAACCCACGUACGUUGAAAAGUGCGGGGAUGAGGUGUGGGUAGCGGAGAAAUUCCAAACGAACUUGGAGAUAGCUGGUUCUCUCCGAAAUAGCUUUAGGGCUAGCCUCGGAAUUGAGAAUGAUGGAGGUAGAGCACUGUUUGGACUAGGGGCCCAUCUCGGGUUACCGAAUUCAGAUAAACUCCGAAUGCCAUUCAUUUAUAUCCGGGAGUCAGACUGCGAGUGAUAAGAUCCGUAGUCGAAAGGGAAACAGCCCAGACCACCAGCUAAGGUCCCAAAAUAUAUGUUAAGUGGAAAAGGAUGUGGGGUUGCACAGACAACUAGGAUGUUGGCUUAGAAGCAGCCACCAUUUAAAGAGUGCGUAAUAGCUCACUAGUCGAGUGACCCUGCGCCGAAAAUGUACCGGGGCUAAACAUAUUACCGAAGCUGUGGACUACACCAUUAGGUGUAGUGGUAGGAGAGCGUUCUAAGGGCGUUGAAGGUCGAUCGUGAGGACGGCUGGAGCGCUUAGAAGUGAGAAUGCCGGUAUGAGUAGCGAAAGACAGGUGAGAAUCCUGUCCACCGUAUGACUAAGGUUUCCUGGGGAAGGCUCGUCCGCCC